GAAGUAGUACCAAUUAAAGAAGCUGUUAAUUCCCCUUCUUCCUGAUUCUGUAUUGGGAUUAAAUUGAUCUGCCCCAAAAGCUAAAUUGCAUGGCCUAAUACCACUAGCACCUACUACUAGAAAACCAAAUCCACACAGUAAGAAAGCCAAUUGUCCUGUAGUUGGUUCAAGGCAAAUGCUAUUUUCUGCAGUUCCACAAUGAAGAGGAUGCAGUUUUGAGAUCGCAGCUGUGAGCGUCAAAAACAACAUCCCCGUGAA
RNAcentral lists this unclassified non-coding RNA (258 nucleotides) under Hevea brasiliensis (rubber tree). The record is from RNAcentral. Lineage: Eukaryota; Viridiplantae; Streptophyta; Magnoliopsida; Malpighiales; Euphorbiaceae.